GACGAACGCUGGCGGCGUGCUUCAUACAUGCAAGUCGAGCGGGAUCCAUCCAGUGGCAACACUGGUGAAGAUCGAGCGGCGAACGGGUGAGUAACACGUGAGGAACCUGCCCCAGAGACCGGGAUAACCCUCCGAAAGGAGAGCUAAUACCGGAUGCCCCCACCGGAUCGCAUGGUCUGGUGAGGAAAUGGAUUCCGCUCUGGGAGGGCCUCGCGGCCUAUCGGCUUGUUGGUGAGGUAAUGGCUCACCAAGGCUUCGACGGGUAGCUGGUCUGAGAGGACGGUCAGCCACACUGGGACUGAGACACGGCCCAGACUCCUACGGGAGGCAGCAGUAGGGAAUCUUGCGCAAUGGGCGAAAGCCUGACGCAGCAACGCCGCGUGGGGGAUGAAGGCUUUCGGGUUGUAAACCCCUUUCAGCAGGGACGAUCGUGACGGUACCUGCAGAAGAAGGACCGGCCAACUACGUGCCAGCAGCCGCGGUAAUACGUAGGGUCCGAGCGUUGUCCGGAUUUAUUGGGCGUAAAGAGCUCGUAGGCGGCUCAGUUAGUCGGAUGUGAAAACUCGGGGCUCAACCCCGAGACGCCAUCCGAUACUGCUGUGGCUUGAAUCUGGUAGGGGAGCACGGAAUUCCUGGUGUAGCGGUGAAAUGCGCAGAUAUCAGGAGGAACACCGGUGGCGAAGGCGGUGCUCUGGGCCAGUAUUGACGCUGAGGAGCGAAAGCGUGGGUAGCAAACAGGAUUAGAUACCCUGGUAGUCCACGCCGUAAACGUUGGGCACUAGGUGUGGGUCCCUAUCGACGGGAUCCGUGCCGUA
Molecule: ribosomal RNA, 815 nt
Filed under: uncultured Actinomycetes bacterium
Lineage: Bacteria; Bacillati; Actinomycetota; Actinomycetes
Description: bacterial SSU rRNA
Rfam family: Bacterial small subunit ribosomal RNA
Source: RNAcentral